Molecule: ribosomal RNA, 120 nt
Filed under: Scophthalmus maximus (turbot)
Lineage: Eukaryota; Metazoa; Chordata; Actinopteri; Pleuronectiformes; Scophthalmidae
Source: RNAcentral
GCUUAUGGCCACACCGCCUGGUUCUACGGCUGAUCUCGUUUGAUCUCGGAAGCUAAGAUAGGGUGGGCCUGGUUAGUACUUGGAUGGGAGACCGCCUGGGAAUACCAGGUGUUGUAAGAU